This is an RNA transcript of Triticum dicoccoides, 5470 nucleotides long. It is a transcript of the gene named disease resistance protein Pik-2-like, with no coding region annotated. NCBI's taxonomy places the organism in Eukaryota, Viridiplantae, Streptophyta, Magnoliopsida, Poales, Poaceae. The record is from RefSeq and is a predicted model, not a curated record. The transcript has 5 exons.
UUAUUUUCCCCUCAAAUUGUAUGUUCUUCCUGAUCUCCAAUUGAAUAGCACACUACAGUAGAUGCUAGCAGAUAUCUAUGUAUUGCAUGGUAUUUGUCUCUUCUUCUGAUUAAUAGAUUGGUAUUGAUACUGCGCCAAAAAAAAUGUCUAUUCCUGAAUUUUCAUGAGUGUAAGUGUGCAACCUGGUACUUGUAUGUAGUUGACAGUUUAGAUUGGUAUUGCAACCAAUUUUUGUUGGUAUUGCAUACAACCUCCACAUGCAACUGUCAUCAAUACACUCUGCUACAAGUUUAGAUUGACUGCUUGUGCUAUACUUCACUUCCAGGUUCAUGUUUAUGUGAAAUUCACCAAUCACAAUUUUUAGGUGCUCUUUUGAAUCAAAAAUUUGCUGCUCUGACAAUAGGCUUUGAAAGUGCUUCUUGCAUCCAAAAAAACUUUCAUUUGCUGUCAUCUCUGUUAGUAUAGAUAUGUCACCAAAGGCUCUCACACCAUUCUGUCCACAUGUACGCAUGAAUGGAAAUGCAUUAACAUGAUGCAUAACUCUUGGUUCUGGAUCUUCGUCUGAACUCUGGGUAGGUGCGGCACCAGAAUCAUGCUCAUCGUCAUCAUCAUGUCCCAUAGAAUCCUCCUCUGGCUCUGUAUCCUCCUGAUCAUAUGGGUCAUUGGCAGUACUUGUUGGAAAAUCAUUUGUCACAGUACCAUGAGUAUAAGAUGGAGCAUGUGCCAUGUCAAAGUCAGGACCACGUGAACUAGAAUUUGGAAAACCACUGAUAGAUGUUUGAUGCAAUGACGAGUGCACUGCACUUGCAUACCUUUGUGAUUGACUUUCAAUUAUUGGUAUGUUGCUUCCACCGCUGACUUGGAUCAACAUGUUUUGAUUUGGCGUGAUGUUAACAUAUAACUCUAUCACUUGCCACGUUGUCCGGAACUUGGUCUUCUCAAAAAUCAUGUUCCAUCCUCUUUCCUCAUAUAUUGGAAUUAACUGAAAAUAAUGUGGUCCAGGAGCUCCAAUAUCAAAGCGAGCUUGGAUAUUCAGGUUUGUUUGAGCACUGACAUUAACAUGUCCAAGUCCUCGACAUGUCUCACUCUUGAUAUCUUCAAAAGUAGUAUUCUCGGACACUGGAAAUGUUAAUUUGGGAGGAAUGGUAUAAUCCACACCCAUAGAUCCAUGUUGCACUUCACCAUCCACGUAAACCAGAACGAUUAACAUGUUCUUAUAUGCACCUACAAACAUGAACAUGCAACAAGUAAAUAUCAAAAUUUCAAAUUGAUCUACCAUAGACUCAUGACUGAAAUUUUGGUUUCUCACAAACCAGCCAAUUAAGGACCAUAAUUCAGGAAUAACAAUCCAAUCAUAUAUAGUGUCUACUUGUAAACCAUUGUAUCAAUUGCAUAGAAGAUUAAGACAAAGGAGAUUCGAUAGAACAGUACAACAACUAACAUGAACCAAGCACAAAAUCAAUUGGAGAAUCCUAAUGGCGAGCGACUGAUGAGACCAUGUAGCUCUUGUGAUGAUCGGCGUUGCCGACUGCCAGAGAUUGCUUACCGUAUGGUGAGGUCUAGGAGCGAAGACUGCAUCCGUACUCCUGUGAUGAUCGGCGUUGCUGGCUGCCAGAGAUUGCUUACCGUAUGGCGAGAUCCAGGAGCGAAGACUGCAUUCGUCCUACGGUUUUAAACCUCACGUAACUUCUGUCUGUCAUUAGGAAAGACUCGGUUUAGUCGGAUCUCGUGGCUAGGCGAAGCACUUGACUGGACACAGUUACUAAUAGCGUCCAAACUUGGACGCUGUCCUCGAUAGCAUCCAGGUCUGGACGCCAUUGUAGUUAGCGUCCUUCCUAUUUUUAAAAUUUCCAUCUGCCUGUCACUAGUUUCCAAAUUACUGGGUUAUUAAUUACUACUAAUAAACAAUCCGGCCACUCAAGCUCAUGUCCGACAAUCUCCUACCUUCUCCAACAUGGCGGAUAGCCGAUCCGAGUCCUAUACCUCUAGAUCCAUUGAUCCGCUGCUCUCGGGAGGAGGAGAUGACUGUCCGCCUUGCGCUCUGCAGCUCCCGAAAGGAGGCCGCCCGACGGCAACGCUCUUACUCCUUCCGUCGGGAAUGCAUUGCGUCCGCCCAAAUGGCGCAUGGAUCCGGUGCGAUUGUGUCACCGGAGGCAGUGCGGUCUGUUUUGCGUCGGAACGGUUUGGUGGAUGCGCAACCGCUUCGUUGGUGCGCAGAAGUGGAAGUGAAUGGAUGGGUGUCGUCCGACGCAAGUAUGGUGCGGCGUGCCCGCCGUGCGAGGCGGUGGGCACGGGAGGCAAUGGCAGCUCUCACGGCGGUGUACGUUGGCGAGGCGGAGUUGCAUUCUCCAGUGCCCCGUAUGGUGCACGGCCAGCCCGGGCACUACUAUCCCGUCGUGGUGGACGUCACCGGCUCCGGACUCUGACAAGAAAGAGUAGGGUAUGGGAGACGGCAGUGCAUCGAGUCCCAUGAGCCGGUAUUUGUUCCAUCGUCACCGGCUCCGUUUAGAUUAGGUUUCACGUUACAUGUAAUAGUAUGGAUUUGAGAUUUCUUAAUAGUAUCCGGUUGUGUAAGAGAUCAUUUGACACAUGACCAGUCACUAUCCGCGAACACGUCGGUGUUUGAGGUGUCGGAUUUGUUGUAUCUGGUUGUAGAUGCUCUGAAUGGAUGCAUGCUGGAGUAGUUGGGUCUUGAUGGUCGUGGCAAUCGCAAUCUUGAGAAUUUUGUCCAUUCUCUUUUAGUCUUUUGGCCCAUGCCUGGCUUCCACUCCUUUUCUGCACAAUGACAAUGGGAUGCACACGACUGGCACUCGGAUACCAGCCACAACUCGCGUACGCGUGGUCGGGAAGACGAGCCAAGUCAAGUGCAGCGUCAGCUACGCGUGUGGCUGGCCAGCACACACGCACACACGCACACACGCGCACGCGCGCGCGCGCGCACACACACACACACACACCACGCAUAGAUAACUUCCAUCCUCUCCUUGCGGCCCUGCAGUUUGUGUACGCGUUUUGGUGGAGGAUUACCACAGACCGGCCGGAUCCCUCCACCCCACUCUCCUCGCGCUAAUCCUCGUCUAUCCGUGGGUGUCCGAGCUUCACCCCUACUCCUCGAUCGCCGGGCGACGUGCCGGGGUUACGACGCGGGCAGCCAUCGUCUCUUCCGCUGCAGAUCGAAUCCCGCCAGGUACGGCGGCUUCGACGCAGAAUUAUUGACAGAUCAAGCUCGAUCUCUGCAAGCAGGGAGGACGCGGUUCCGGUGAGCGCGGCGACGGGUCCGGCUGCAACCCCACUGCUAACCGAGUUGCAACUAGUGAAGAAAUUAUAGAUCCCGCUAGGCCAGUAUAUUUCCAGAAGAUUCUAUUAUUGAGAAGAAAACACUAAUAUCAAGAUGGAUUGCUGAAGGAUUCAUUCACAAAGAAGGUAUAUAUACUGCAUAUGAGGUAGGAGUGAGGUUUUUUAAUGAGCUCAUCAAUAGGAGUUUGAUCCAACCUGUGAAGAAAGGCGGUUAUAUGGGGAAGAGUUGUCGAGUUCACGAUAUAAUUCUUGAUUUCAUAGUAUCCAAGUCCAUUGAAGAGAACUUUGUUACUUUUGUUGGUGUCCCCAGUUUAACUACCAUGACACAAGGCAAAGUCCGCCGUAUCUCCAUGCAAGUUGAAGGGAAAGGGGAUUCUAUUUUGCCAAUGAGCCUGAUAUUGUCUCAUGUCCGAUCAUUUAAUGUCUUUGUGAAUACGGUGAAUAUCCAUUCGAUGAUGGACUUCAAACAUUUGCGUGUCGUGGACUUUGGACGAAACAGUCUUUUGGAAAACUACCAUCUUGCAAAUGUAGGGAGGCUGAUUCACCUAAGGUACCUCAGCAUUUACAGGACAGCAGUAAGCGAGCUCCCGGAACAAAUCGGACACCUACAAUGCUUAGAGAUGUUGGACAUGAGGUAUACAAAGAUGUCCGAGUUGCCAGCAAGUAUUGCCAAUCUCGGCAAACUGGCACACUUACUUCUUGACUCACAUACUAACACAGUUGUUAAGUUUCCAGAUGGAAUAGCUAAGAUGCAAGCAAGGAAGUCAUAUAACUUUCUGCAAGGGCUUGGUGACUUUGGAUCAUGUUGACGCCUGCAAGCAGUCAUAUAACUUUCUGCAAGGGCUUGGUGAGCUAAAGAAUCUAAGGAAGCUGUGCAUUAAUUAUCGGGGUGUUGCCCAUGAAGACAAGGAAGUUAUUGCUUCUUCUCUCGGAAAACUAUGCACACAAAACCUUUGUUCUCUAACUAUGUGGGGGAAUGAUGAUGACGACUUCUUGUUGAAUACAUGGUGCACUUCUCCGCCGCUUAACCUCCGAAAACUUGUCAUAUCGUGUUGUAUAUUCCCAAAGGUUCCGCAUUGGGUAGGAUCACUCGUCAACCUACAGAAGUUACGCUUGGAUAUGGGGAGAGGAAUCUGGCAUGAAGAUAUCUGUAUUCUUGGAGCCUUACCCGCUCUGCUCACUCUAAGUCUAGGAGGAAGGGAAAAACAGCCUUCUUGUGAAGAUGGAAGGUUGGCAGUUAGUGGUGAAGCUGGGUUCCGAUGCCUGAGGAAAUUUAAAUACUGGAGGCGGGGAGAUUGGAUGGAUCUUAUGUUUACGGCAAAAUGUAUGCCCAAGCUAGAAAAACUGAAGAUUAUGUUUUACCGCCAUGCUGAAGAUGAGGCUCCCAUCUGUCCUGCUUUUGAUUUCGGGAUCGAAAACCUCUCCAGCCUCACUACUUUAAAAUGUAGCCUAGGUUAUAGUCCUAUGGCAACGAAAAUUAUUGACGCUGUAAAGGCUUCUCUGGACAGAGUAGUCAGCGCACAUCCCAACCACCUUACUCUAAUCUUCCGUUAUCAGCUGUCUAAAGAUCUUCAGUCAUCCUCCGAAUCUACUUGAGUAGAGUCAAGACCAUGCGUUUGUCGGACACACGGUAUAUACCAUCAUUGCUACAUGCGGUCUCAGGACUAAUCACCGCACUACUGACGAGUGCGCUCAGGUUCUUCUCAAGCCCUGCAGUGCUUCAUGAAGAUGAUUAUUUCUGUCCUCCGUGUUCUGGCUGAUGUGUUUGGAUGCUCUCUUUCACUGAAGAUGAAGAUGAUGCUGAUGGUGUUAGGCAUCGAAAUUGCUGAAACCUGAAGAUGAUGCUGUGGUCAUGUGCAGGUGAAGUCUCAAAAGAUUUGGGGUGGUGCUUGUAAGAAUUCGUGCUUACACUGUUGUUUCAGUUGACAGCAUACAGUCAAGUCGAACCAUGACCUCGGCUGCUCUUGCUUCCUUAUCCAGACGUUGGCUGCGUGUGGCACGGCAUGUCUUUCUUGUUUUUUCCUUAUUCUCCUUUUUGUGUUUCCGGCUUUCCGCUGCUGCCGCCCUCCGUUUUUUGUUCAAACCAAUAAUGGAAUAAAUCUUGUAUGUAAGUACCCCGAUCUUAUGUGUCUAUUUAUACAACUUUCACUAAGACAGCUAGCCUGUUGCAACC